This 162-nucleotide ribosomal RNA is filed under the name Claytonia exigua subsp. exigua. RNAcentral's name for it is "5.8S ribosomal RNA". It matches the Rfam family "5.8S ribosomal RNA". From Rfam's summary of the family: 5.8S ribosomal RNA (5.8S rRNA) is a component of the large subunit of the eukaryotic ribosome. It is transcribed by RNA polymerase I as part of the 45S precursor that also contains 18S and 28S rRNA. Lineage: Eukaryota; Viridiplantae; Streptophyta; Magnoliopsida; Caryophyllales; Montiaceae. RNAcentral also lists the same sequence under 1 other name. The record is from RNAcentral.
AACGACUCUCGACAACGGAUAUCUCGGCUCUCGCAUCGAUGAAGAACGUAGCGAAAUGCGAUACUUGGUGUGAAUUGCAGAAUCCCGUGAACCAUCGAGUCUUUGAACGCAAGUUGCGCCCGAAGCCUUCUGGCUUAGGGCACGUCUGCCUGGGCGUCACGC